Molecule: unclassified non-coding RNA, 345 nt
Filed under: soil metagenome
Description: partial contains 5.8S ribosomal RNA, internal transcribed spacer 2, and large subunit ribosomal RNA
Rfam family: 5.8S ribosomal RNA (bases 1-119)
Source: RNAcentral
GAUGAAGAACGCAGCGAAAUGCGAUACGUAAUGUGAAUUGCAAAUUCAGUGAAUCAUCGAGUCUUUGAACGCACAUUGCGCCCCCUGGUAUUCCGGGGGGCCUGCCUGUCCGAGCGUCAUUGCUGCCCUCAAGCACGGCUUGUGUGUUGGGCCCCGUCCUCCGAUCCCGGGGGACGGGCCCGAAAGGCAGCGGCGGCACCGCGUCCGGUCCUCGAGCGUAUGGGGCUUUGUCACCCGCUCUGUAGGCCCGGCCGGCGCUUGCCGAUCAACCCAAAUUUUUAUCCAGGUUGACCUCGGAUCAGGUAGGGAUACCCGCUGAACUUAAGCAUAUCAAUAAGCGGAGGA